UGAUAUGUUCGUAGUGUAGCGAACAGUAUAAUCAAAAGAAAUACACAAACAGA
The submitters of this non-coding RNA (53 nucleotides) gave its source as unclassified sequences. The record is from Rfam.